This 312-nucleotide unclassified non-coding RNA is filed under the name uncultured fungus. Its description in RNAcentral is "partial contains small subunit ribosomal RNA, internal transcribed spacer 1, and 5.8S ribosomal RNA". The stretch from base 1 to 73 matches the Rfam family "Eukaryotic small subunit ribosomal RNA", at positions 1759 to 1831 of the family's 1831-position model. The record is from RNAcentral. Lineage: Eukaryota; Fungi.
CCAAACUUGGUCAUUUAGAGGAAGUAAAAGUCGUAACAAGGUCUCCGUUGGUGAACCAGCGGAGGGAUCAUUACUGAGUGUAAAAACUCCCAAACCCUUUGUGAACAUACCUCUGUUGCCUCGGUGGGGUGAUCCCGCCAUCGGGAAGACCUACCCGGUACCUACCCUGUAGUUCUUGCCCGGUGGUAGAUUCCCCGCCAGAGGACCACUAAAAACUCUGAUAAUUAUUGGCACUUCUGAGUAACUGUAUCCAAAUAAGUUAAAACUUUCAACAACGGAUCUCUUGGUUCUGGCAUCGAUGAAGAACGCAGC